RNAcentral lists this ribosomal RNA (1540 nucleotides) under Escherichia coli. RNAcentral describes it as "partial 23S ribosomal RNA". It matches the Rfam family "Bacterial large subunit ribosomal RNA", at positions 1291 to 2816 of the family's 2925-position model. Lineage: Bacteria; Pseudomonadati; Pseudomonadota; Gammaproteobacteria; Enterobacterales; Enterobacteriaceae. The record is from RNAcentral.
CGAAUGCUGACAUAAGUAACGAUAAAGCGGGUGAAAAGCCCGCUCGCCGGAAGACCAAGGGUUCCUGUCCAACGUUAAUCGGGGCAGGGUGAGUCGACCCCUAAGGCGAGGCCGAAAGGCGUAGUCGAUGGGAAACAGGUUAAUAUUCCUGUACUUGGUGUUACUGCGAAGGGGGGACGGAGAAGGCUAUGUUGGCCGGGCGACGGUUGUCCCGGUUUAAGCGUGUAGGCUGGUUUUCCAGGCAAAUCCGGAAAAUCAAGGCUGAGGCGUGAUGACGAGGCACUACGGUGCUGAAGCAACAAAUGCCCUGCUUCCAGGAAAAGCCUCUAAGCAUCAGGUAACAUCAAAUCGUACCCCAAACCGACACAGGUGGUCAGGUAGAGAAUACCAAGGCGCUUGAGAGAACUCGGGUGAAGGAACUAGGCAAAAUGGUGCCGUAACUUCGGGAGAAGGCACGCUGAUAUGUAGGUGAAGUCCCUCGCGGAUGGAGCUGAAAUCAGUCGAAGAUACCAGCUGGCUGCAACUGUUUAUUAAAAACACAGCACUGUGCAAACACGAAAGUGGACGUAUACGGUGUGACGCCUGCCCGGUGCCGGAAGGUUAAUUGAUGGGGUCAGCGCAAGCGAAGCUCUUGAUCGAAGCCCCGGUAAACGGCGGCCGUAACUAUAACGGUCCUAAGGUAGCGAAAUUCCUUGUCGGGUAAGUUCCGACCUGCACGAAUGGCGUAAUGAUGGCCAGGCUGUCUCCACCCGAGACUCAGUGAAAUUGAACUCGCUGUGAAGAUGCAGUGUACCCGCGGCAAGACGGAAAGACCCCGUGAACCUUUACUAUAGCUUGACACUGAACAUUGAGCCUUGAUGUGUAGGAUAGGUGGGAGGCUUUGAAGUGUGGACGCCAGUCUGCAUGGAGCCGACCUUGAAAUACCACCCUUUAAUGUUUGAUGUUCUAACGUGGACCCGUGAUCCGGGUUGCGGACAGUGUCUGGUGGGUAGUUUGACUGGGGCGGUCUCCUCCUAAAGAGUAACGGAGGAGCACGAAGGUUGGCUAAUCCUGGUCGGACAUCAGGAGGUUAGUGCAAUGGCAUAAGCCAGCUUGACUGCGAGCGUGACGGCGCGAGCAGGUGCGAAAGCAGGUCAUAGUGAUCCGGUGGUUCUGAAUGGAAGGGCCAUCGCUCAACGGAUAAAAGGUACUCCGGGGAUAACAGGCUGAUACCGCCCAAGAGUUCAUAUCGACGGCGGUGUUUGGCACCUCGAUGUCGGCUCAUCACAUCCUGGGGCUGAAGUAGGUCCCAAGGGUAUGGCUGUUCGCCAUUUAAAGUGGUACGCGAGCUGGGUUUAGAACGUCGUGAGACAGUUCGGUCCCUAUCUGCCGUGGGCGCUGGAGAACUGAGGGGGGCUGCUCCUAGUACGAGAGGACCGGAGUGGACGCAUCACUGGUGUUCGGGUUGUCAUGCCAAUGGCACUGCCCGGUAGCUAAAUGCGGAAGAGAUAAGUGCUGAAAGCAUCUAAGCACGAAACUUGCCCCGAGAUGAGUUCUCCCU